GACGAACGCUGGCGGCGUGCCUAAUACAUGCAAGUCGAGCGGACGGAUGGGAGCUUGCUCCCAGACCGUCAGCGGCGGACGGGUGAGUAACACGCGGGCAACCUGCCUGUAAGACUGGGAUAACUCCGGGAAACCGGGGCUAAUACCGGAUAACUCUUUCCCUCCCCUGAGGGAAAGCUGAAAGAUGGCAUCUCGCUAUCACUUACAGAUGGGCCCGCGGCGCAUUAGCUAGUUGGUGAGGUAACGGCUCACCAAGGCGACGAUGCGUAGCCGACCUGAGAGGGUGAUCGGCCACACUGGGACUGAGACACGGCCCAGACUCCUACGGGAGGCAGCAGUAGGGAAUCUUCCGCAAUGGACGAAAGUCUGACGGAGCAACGCCGCGUGAGUGAUGAAGGUUUUCGGAUCGUAAAACUCUGUUGUCAGGGAAGAACAAGUACCGGAGUAACUGCCGGUACCUUGACGGUACCUGACCAGAAAGCCACGGCUAACUACGUG
This 498-nucleotide ribosomal RNA is filed under the name uncultured bacterium. Its description in RNAcentral is "partial 16S ribosomal RNA". It matches the Rfam family "Bacterial small subunit ribosomal RNA", at positions 28 to 507 of the family's 1533-position model. The record is from RNAcentral.